This 497-nucleotide ribosomal RNA is filed under the name uncultured bacterium. RNAcentral's name for it is "partial 16S ribosomal RNA". It matches the Rfam family "Bacterial small subunit ribosomal RNA", at positions 28 to 507 of the family's 1533-position model. The record is from RNAcentral.
GAUGAACGCUGGCGGCGUGCCUAAUACAUGCAAGUCGAGCGAACAGACGAGGAGCUUGCUCCUCUGACGUUAGCGGCGGACGGGUGAGUAACACGUGGAUAACCUACCUAUAAGACUGGGAUAACUUCGGGAAACCGGAGCUAAUACCGGAUAAUAUAUUGAACCGCAUGGUUCAAUAGUUAAAGACGGUUUUGCUGUCACUUAUAGAUGGAUCCGCGCCGCAUUAGCUAGUUGGUAAGGUAACGGCUUACCAAGGCAACGAUGCGUAGCCGACCUGAGAGGGUGAUCGGCCACACUGGAACUGAGACACGGUCCAGACUCCUACGGGAGGCAGCAGUAGGGAAUCUUCCGCAAUGGGCGAAAGCCUGACGGAGCAACGCCGCGUGAGUGAUGAAGGUCUUCGGAUCGUAAAACUCUGUUAUUAGGGAAGAACAAAUGUGUAAGUAACUAUGCACGUCUUGACGGUACCUAAUCAGAAAGCCACGGCUAACUACGUG